AACGAACGCUGGCGGCAUGCCUAACACAUGCAAGUCGAACGGGAUCCAGGCUUCGGCCUGGUGAGAGUGGCGGACGGGUGAGUAACACGUGGGAACCUGCCUUUUGGUUCGGGAUAACCGCGGGAAACUGCGGCUAAUACCGGAUGCUCCCGAGAGGGGAAAGAUUUAUCGCCAGAAGAGGGGCCCGCGUCCGAUUAGGUAGUUGGUGAGGUAAUGGCUCACCAAGCCGACGAUCGGUAGCUGGUCUGAGAGGAUGAUCAGCCACACUGGGACUGAGAUACGGCCCAGACUCCUACGGGAGGCAGCAGUGGGGAAUAUUGGACAAUGGGGCAACCCUGAUCCAGCAAUGCCGCGUGGGUGAUGAAGGCCUUAGGGUUGUAAAGCUCUUUUGCCAGGGAAGAUGAUGACUGUACCUGGAGAAUAAGCCCCGGCUAACUUCGUGCCAGCAGCCGCGGUAAU
Molecule: ribosomal RNA, 459 nt
Filed under: uncultured bacterium
Lineage: Bacteria
Description: bacterial SSU rRNA
Rfam family: Bacterial small subunit ribosomal RNA
Source: RNAcentral